CGAAAGGGUGGCGAACGCGGAGAACUGAAACAUCUCAGUACCCGCAGGAAAGUAAAUCAACAGAGACUCCCAAAGUAGCGGCGAGCGAAAUGGGAAUAGCCCAAACCCGGUAUGUGUAAGCCUGUCAGCGUUGCAUAUCGGGGGUUGUGGGGCCUGUUUGGAGGGUAUGACAGUACCCUCGGGAAGUUAACAAGUAAUCGUAUAGCAGAACACAGCUGGAAAGCUGGGCCACAGAGGGUGACAGCCCCGUAAGCGAAAUGCGAUUGCCUUCCUGGGACAGGUUCCCGAGUACGCCGGGACACGAGAAACCCUGGUGGAACCUGGGAGGACCAUCUUCCAAGGCUAAGUACUACCUGCUGACCGAUAGCGAACCAGUACCGUGAGGGAAAGGUGAAAAGUACCCCUGUGAGGGGAGUGAAAUAGUACCUGAAACCUNGNGUCUACAAGCAGUGGAAGCACUAUGCCCUUUUNGGAANGUGCGACNGCGUGCCUUUUGCAUAAUGAGUCAGCGAGUUAAUUUNUGUAGCAAGGUUAAGCCGGAUGAGGUGUAGCCGNAGCGAAAGCGAGUCUGAAUAGGGCGUCNAGUUGCANGGAUUAGACCCGAAACCGNGUGANCUAUCCAUGGGCAGGGUGAAGCGNGAGUAAGAUCUCGUGGAGGCCCGAACCCACUNANGUUGAAAANUNANGGNAUGACCUGUGGAUAGGGGUGAAAGGCCAAUCAAACUCGGAGAUAGCUGGUUCUCCCCGAAAUAUAUUUAGGUAUAGCGUCACGUGGCAGCUGCCGGAGGUAGAGCACUGAUUGGGCUAGGGGUCCUACCAGAUUACCAAACCCAGUCAAACUCCGAAUACCGGUAAGCCAAGGCGUGGCAGUCAGACUAUGGGGGAUAAGCUCCUUAGUCGAGAGGGAAACAGCCCAGAUCGCCAGCUAAGGUCCCAAAGAUCGUGCUAAGUGGUAAAGGUUGUGGGAGCGCACAGACAACCAGGAUGUUGGCUUAGAAGCAGCCAUCGUUUAAAGAAAGCGUAAUAGCUCACUGGUCAAGCGAACCUGCGCCGAAAAUUCAACGGGGCUCAAGCACGGCACCGAAGCUGCGAAUUUCAAUGUAUUUUGAAGUGGUAGGGGAGCGUUCCAGGGCCAGCGAAGGUCGACCGUAAGGACGGCUGGAGGGCCUGGAAGUGAUAAUGCUGACAUGAGUAGCGAUAAAGCCGGUGAGAAACCGGCUCGCCGUAAGCCCGAGGUUUCCUGGGCAAGGUUAAUCCGCCCAGGGUUAGUCGACACCUAAGGCGAGGCCGAAAGGCGUAGCNGAUGGCAAGCAGGUUCAUAUUCCUGCACCAGUUNAUAUUUUGUUGAAGCUAGAGGGGACGGAGAAGGAUAGACGAGCCCACUGAUGGAUGUGUGGUUCAAACCNGUAGNGGGANCUCCUAGGACCCGUUUGGGACAAACGGGAGNUCAUUAACCUCNGAGNGGUGAUGAGAGGNNGCNGCNUUGCNAANGCCUAACUCGUUGAUUCCANNCUUCCAAGAAAAGCCUCGAGUGGAGAAUAUAUAGCUGAUCGUACCNAAAACCGACACAGGUGGNCGAGGAGAGCAUCCUAAGGCGCUUGAGAGAACUCUGGUUAAGGAACUCGGCAAAUUGGCACCGUAACUUCGGAAGAAGGUGCGCCCGUACUGGGUGAUGGGACUUGCUCCCGGAGCUCAGAGGGGCCGCAGUGACCAGGGGGUAGCGACUGUUUACUAAAAACAUAGGACUCUGCUAAGUCGUAAGACGAUGUAUAGGGUCUGACGCCUGCCCGGUGCCGGAAGGUUAAGGGGAGAUGUUAGCAGCAAUGCGAAGCUUCGAACCGAAGCCCCGGUAAACGGCGGCCGUAACAAUAACGGUCCUAAGGUAGCGAAAUUCCUUGUCGGGUAAGUUCCGACCUGCACGAAUGGCGUAACGACUUCCCCACUGUCUCGACCAGAGACUCAGCGAAAUUGAAUUCUCGGUGAAGAUGCCGAGUACCCACGGCCAGACGGAAAGACCCCGUGAACCUUUACUAUAGCUUGACAGUGACAUUCGGGAUAGUUUGUGUAGGAUAGGUGGGAGACGUUGAAACUGGAGCGCUAGCUUCGGUGGAGUCAACCUUGAAAUACCACCCUGAUUAUUCUGGAUGUCUAACCGCGCUCAGUGAAUCCUGAGCCGGGACACUGUCUGGUGGGUAGUUUGACUGGGGCGGUCACCUCCCAAAGAGUAACGGAGGUGCACGAAGGUUCCCUCAGACUGAUUGGAAACCAGUCGAAGAGUGCAAAGGCAUAAGG
Molecule: ribosomal RNA, 2292 nt
Filed under: metagenome
Description: bacterial LSU rRNA
Rfam family: Bacterial large subunit ribosomal RNA
Source: RNAcentral